AUGGUCCAGAUACUGUCCUUGAUCCACAGCAAAAGUGGGACUCUGAGUAGCAUGCCCUACAUACUGAAAGACGUCACAAACCUAAAGGCAAUGUACCAUAGAGAGAGCAGGUUGGCUGACAUAGAAGACACGAUAGCCUAUUUCGAUGAGAAAGCGAAGGAAGAUCCAGAUUUCUUCUACAGGAUAAGAUUGGACGAUGAGGACCGUGUCAGGAACAUGUAUUGGGUGGAUGGUGCUGCACGAAGAGCCUACAAACAUUUCCGAGAUUGAAUUUCGUUCGACGCGACAUAUCUCAUUAAUAUGUACAAGAUGCCCUGCGCUCCAUUCAUAGGAAUAAAUAAC
RNAcentral lists this ribosomal RNA (342 nucleotides) under Triticum aestivum (bread wheat). Its description in RNAcentral is "partial small subunit ribosomal RNA". Lineage: Eukaryota; Viridiplantae; Streptophyta; Magnoliopsida; Poales; Poaceae. The record is from RNAcentral.